This 466-nucleotide ribosomal RNA is filed under the name uncultured bacterium. RNAcentral describes it as "partial 16S ribosomal RNA". It matches the Rfam family "Bacterial small subunit ribosomal RNA", at positions 28 to 507 of the family's 1533-position model. The record is from RNAcentral.
GAUGAACGCUGGCGGCGUGCUUAACACAUGCAAGUCGAACGGAAAGGCCCAAGCUUGCUUGGGUACUCGAGUGGCGAACGGGUGAGUAACACGUGGGUGAUCUGCCCUGCACUUCGGGAUAAGCCUGGGAAACUGGGUCUAAUACCGGAUAGGACCACAUUUUGGAUGGUGUGGUGGAAAGUUUUUCGGUGUGGGAUGAGCUCGCGGCCUAUCAGCUUGUUGGUGGGGUAAUGGCCUACCAAGGCGUCGACGGGUAGCCGGCCUGAGAGGGUGUACGGCCACAUUGGGACUGAGAUACGGCCCAGACUCCUACGGGAGGCAGCAGUGGGGAAUAUUGCACAAUGGGCGCAAGCCUGAUGCAGCGACGCCGCGUGGGGGAUGACGGCCUUCGGGUUGUAAACUCCUUUCGCUAGGGACGAAGCGUUAUGUGACGGUACCUGGAGAAGAAGCACCGGCUAACUACGUG